UACACAUUUUGUGGUGACUUUAAAAUGAAAACAAAAGUGGGCGAUUUGUGUGUGUGCGUUUUUCCUUUUUUUCACUCGCCUAUUUUAUUCCUCUAUCAUUAUUAUACAAAAAGUGUCAAGUUUCAACUUCUGACAGACUUUCAGAAGUGUUGGUAAGUUCCCUCAUAUACUCGAAUUCUAUGACACUCCUAAUGAAUCAUUUACUAAAGACAAUAUUCAUUCUAGAGUCUAAUGUGAUCAAUUCCUCAAUUUAAAGUUGUUGGAUCCUUUUCAAGUCCUCAAUUUAGUUUUCCUGAUAUGAUCAUGAAUCUAUAUCCAAAAUUGGGAUGGUCUAGUCAAUAUAUCAUGAGUGAGUAUGUCGAGAAACUAGAGAAGAGUUAAUUAGGUUUAACUUGUGAGAAUUGAAGAGUCUAAUGUCUAUAGGUAAAAAGUCAAGAAGAAUUGAAGAGGAUUCCUUGAACUUUUUGCUUCCACUCUUCCCUCUCAAAUAUGCUGUCAAGCCCCUCCUGUCUUUUGGUUAUUAAUAACUUGUGAGUAGACAAGACAAACAGGUGUCUUAGUCAUUUGUUCGUUAAGGAAAAAAUGAUUUGUCUUUUGUGUUAGCAUUUUCUUGUUUGCUAAUUUUGUUAUAAAGGUUGCAUAGAAAACCCCGACCUCUAGUCAAGGGCUUAUCCAGCAGGGUUGGCAGUGGCCACGACCCCCAAGAAAAUGUGGAUUCUGUAAGUUGCCUAGGUGAAUACCAUGAACCUUAUAAGAAGGUAAACUAAAGACUAGAACGUGCCUUUGGGAAGAAAGGAAGGAAUGUCGGUAUGAUGAAGAUGAAAAAAGUGAGGGGCCGGGUUUUGUUCCAUGGUGUGGGAUAAAGAUAUAAAGAGAUGCUACAUUGUUGAUAAUAGUCAGUUAUUACCAAUAUAAGUAGUUUGGGCACACAUCAACCCUCCUUCUUCAGCUACUCUUUAGAAAGUGUAGAUCGAAUGAACAUGGCUCAUGUAGAAUAUAACAUUGCAUUUAUGAAAUCCAUAUUGAAGUUGGAACAAUAUAUGCUUCUUUUCAGCUUUUGGAGAGGUCAUGUUACAUACAAUUGGCUAUAUCUACACUCGAAACAUUUCUAGAGAAUUGCGAAAGGAUACACAGUAUAUGAAAGUACCUGUUUUGGUAGAUUGGGUACAAGACAUAGAUCCCUCACAAUUGAUGGCAGCCAAAGGUGCUUCGGCGUACAUUCAUAUGCUAGAAGAGCUCAGGGAUAAGAAGGAGCAAACAAAGACAUUGUAAAAGUUUGCCUGGAUAAGAAGGAUCACAUGAUAAAUACGCUUUGGAGGAUCAAUUUGAUUGAUAUUGAAUCAACACUCUCACAUGUCUGUCAAGCUGUUCUUAAGGAUCCGAACACCUCUGACAGUGUUCGAGAUUUACCGCUGGAGAUGUUGGGAGAUAUCUUUCAAGGUGCGAAGACUGCUUACCGCAGAAAAAACAGUCUCCGUCAUGAAAGUAAGUGAAUCAGGAGAUGCGUCUUCUUCAUCAUAGUCAUAAAAGUUCCAGAUAGAUUGUGAAGGAUUUACAAAGAUGCGCACUUCUGAUUUUAGAGUAUAAAAAAAGUGGUGUUAUUUUAUGAAAUAUGUCAUGUUAGUUACCCAACUGUUAAAUCUAAUUCCUGUGACAUGUUCUGUUGUAUUCUUUUCUCUUUCAUAAUUCAUAGUAAUGGUAUAUCCAUAUGUAAUUACUCCUCUUAUUGACUAUUAAGUGCACUUAGGCCUUUGUGAAAUUUUGUUUGUGUCUUUCAUGUUACCUAAAGUACUUGUAGAUCCUUUUUGAUAUAUAAUUAACAUCCUCAAACUAACAUGUAGUA
Molecule: long non-coding RNA, 1843 nt
Organism: Trifolium pratense (red clover)
Lineage: Eukaryota; Viridiplantae; Streptophyta; Magnoliopsida; Fabales; Fabaceae
Exons: 4
Source: RefSeq, a predicted model, not a curated record